GAAAAAGAUAUUAAGGGCCAUAGGUGGAUGCCUUGGCUGGUAGAGGCGAUGAAGGACGUACUAGGCUGCGAUAAGCCUCGGGGAGCCGCCAAGAGGCUUUGAUCCGGGGA
RNAcentral lists this ribosomal RNA (110 nucleotides) under Campylobacterales bacterium. RNAcentral's name for it is "partial 23S ribosomal RNA". It matches the Rfam family "Bacterial large subunit ribosomal RNA", at positions 1 to 110 of the family's 2925-position model. The record is from RNAcentral. Lineage: Bacteria; Pseudomonadati; Campylobacterota; Epsilonproteobacteria; Campylobacterales.